RNAcentral lists this ribosomal RNA (410 nucleotides) under bacterium enrichment culture clone ALO1_GLFRUDD03HAHC5. Its description in RNAcentral is "bacterial SSU rRNA". It matches the Rfam family "Bacterial small subunit ribosomal RNA", at positions 9 to 419 of the family's 1533-position model. The record is from RNAcentral.
GAGUUUGAUCAUGGCUCAGAUUGAACGCUGGCGGCAUGCCUUACACAUGCAAGUCGAACGGCAGCACGGGAGCUUGCUCCUGGUGGCGAGUGGCGAACGGGUGAGUAAUGCAUCGGAACGUAUCCUGGAGUGGGGGAUAACGUAGCGAAAGUUACGCUAAUACCGCAUAUUCUGUGAGCAGGAAAGCGGGGGACCUUCGGGCCUCGCGCUCUUGGAGCGGCCGAUGUCGGAUUAGCUAGUUGGUGAGGUAAAGGCUCACCAAGGCGACGAUCCGUAGCAGGUCUGAGAGGAUGAUCUGCCACACUGGAACUGAGACACGGUCCAGACUCCUACGGGAGGCAGCAGUGGGGAAUUUUGGACAAUGGGGGCAACCCUGAUCCAGCUAUGCCGCGUGAGUGAAGAAGGCCUGG